RNAcentral lists this ribosomal RNA (455 nucleotides) under Meliola bauhiniicola. RNAcentral's name for it is "partial large subunit ribosomal RNA". It matches the Rfam family "Eukaryotic large subunit ribosomal RNA", at positions 468 to 937 of the family's 3401-position model. The record is from RNAcentral. Lineage: Eukaryota; Fungi; Ascomycota; Sordariomycetes; Meliolales; Meliolaceae.
GUAGAGUCUUUUUCUUAUGGGGGGCAGGCCAACAUCGGUUUGUGUUGGGGGCUAAGAGUAGCGGAAACGUAGAUCGUUUUCGGGCGAUUGUAAUAGUGCGGCACUCAUUACCCCAACCCAGAUCGAGGAACGCGUUUUGGGACGGAGAUGGGGCGUAAUGGUCGUUGGCGACCCGUCGUGAACCACGGACCAAGGAGUCGAGGUUUUCCGAGAGUGUGUGGGUGGUAGACCCGCCCGCGAAAUGAAAGGAACGCAGGUGAGAGCCUUUUUCGGGCGCUCCAUCGACCGUUCCAAUGUCUCGGAUGGAUUUGAGUAUGAGGGAGGGCCUGGGACCCGAAAGAUGGUGAACUAUGCCUGAAUAGAGUGAAGCCAGAGGAAACUCUGGUGGAGGCUCGCAGCGGUUCUGACGUGCAAAUCGAUCGUCAAAUGUGGGCAUAGGGGCGAAAAGAACCUUG